UAGGGAAUCUUCGGCAAUGGGGGGAACCCUGACCGAGCAACGCCGCGUGAGUGAAGAAGGUUUUCGGAUCGUAAAGCUCUGUUGUUAAGGAAGAACGAGUGUGAGAAUGGAAAGUUCAUACUGUGACGGUACUUAACCAGAAAGGGACGGCUAACUACGUGCCAGCAGCCGCGGUAAUACGUAGGUCCCGAGCGUUGUCCGGAUUUAUUGGGCGUAAAGAGCUUGUAGGCGGUUCGUCGCGUCUGGUGUGAAAGCCCAUCGCUUAACGGUGGGUUUGCGCCGGGUACGGGCGGGCUAGAGUGCAGUAGGGGAGACUGGAAUUCCCGGUGUAACGGUGGAAUGUGUAGAUAUCGGGAAGAACACCAAUGGCGAAGGCAGGUCUCUGGGCUGUUACUGACGCUGAGAAGCGAAAGCGUGGGGAGCGAACAGG
RNAcentral lists this ribosomal RNA (430 nucleotides) under Bacteroidota bacterium. RNAcentral describes it as "Bacteroidetes bacterium partial 16S ribosomal RNA". It matches the Rfam family "Bacterial small subunit ribosomal RNA", at positions 355 to 776 of the family's 1533-position model. Lineage: Bacteria; Pseudomonadati; Bacteroidota. The record is from RNAcentral.